RNAcentral lists this ribosomal RNA (110 nucleotides) under Sinocyclocheilus rhinocerous. Lineage: Eukaryota; Metazoa; Chordata; Actinopteri; Cypriniformes; Cyprinidae. The record is from RNAcentral.
AGCCACAGCCAUAUCACCCUGCAGCCCAAGACUGGUCGCCCACUGAGCAGGGUUGAGCCUGGGCAGUACCUAGAUAGGAGACCUCCUGGGAAACUAGGUUGCUGUUGGAA